This is a long non-coding RNA of Oryzias melastigma (Indian medaka), 336 nucleotides long. RefSeq lists it as uncharacterized. The transcript is spliced from 2 exons. Lineage: Eukaryota; Metazoa; Chordata; Actinopteri; Beloniformes; Adrianichthyidae. The record is from RefSeq and is a predicted model, not a curated record.
UUCUGCCUGUUAUAAACUCCUGCGAUCCGCUCAGAUCAGCCCGUCUGACCACUGAAACAUCUGAUGUCACAUUUUCCACGUCUGUUGGCGGCGCUCAGCGUCUGUGAUUAAAGUGUGUGGAGAGGAGUGAAGGUCACAGGGAGGAGACAGAAAUGUGAAGGAAGAGGAGGGCCGGCGUGUUGCUCCGGCAGAAUGAGGUCAUGUAAACUCCUGAUGAGACCAGAGUCCUGACAGAGACCGAAGGAAAGUGGAUCUGAAUGAGAAACAGCUGAAGGAAACCGCUCGGUCUGACUGGAAAUCACACAGAAUAUUAAAAAGAAAAAAGCAAUGCUUCAC